This 465-nucleotide ribosomal RNA is filed under the name uncultured bacterium. RNAcentral's name for it is "partial 16S ribosomal RNA". It matches the Rfam family "Bacterial small subunit ribosomal RNA", at positions 28 to 507 of the family's 1533-position model. The record is from RNAcentral.
GACGAACGCUGGCGGCGUGCUUAACACAUGCAAGUCGAACGGAAAGGCCCUGCUUGCAGGGUACUCGAGUGGCGAACGGGUGAGUAACACGUGGGUGAUCUGCCCUGCACUUCGGGAUAAGCCUGGGAAACUGGGUCUAAUACCGGAUAGGAGCCAUUUUUAGUGUGAUGGUUGGAAAGUUUUUUCGGUGUAGGAUGAGCUCGCGGCCUAUCUGCUUGUUGGUGGGGUAAUGGCCUACCAAGGCGGCGACGGGUAGCCGGCCUGCGAGGGUGGACGGCCACAUUGGGACUGAGAUACGGCCCAGACUCCUACGGGAGGCAGCAGUGGGGAAUAUUGAACAAUGGGCGCAAGCCUGAUGCAGCGACGCCGCGUGGGGGAUGACGGCCUUCGGGUUGUAAACUCCUUUCGCUAGGGACGAAGCUUUUUGUGACGGUACCUAGAUAAGAAGCACCGGCUAACUACGUG